RNAcentral lists this transfer RNA (69 nucleotides) under Schizopygopsis stoliczkai (false osman). Its description in RNAcentral is "tRNA-Pro". Lineage: Eukaryota; Metazoa; Chordata; Actinopteri; Cypriniformes; Cyprinidae. The record is from RNAcentral.
CAGAAAAUAGAUUAGUUAAGAAUUCAGAAUUUGGGAACUAAGGGUAGAGUUAAAAUAUCUCUUAAAUAG